GACAGAGGGUGCAAACGUUGCUCGGAAUUACUGGGCGUAAAGCGCGUGUAGGCGGACCACCAAGUCGGACGUGAAAGCCCUGAGCUCAACUCAGGAACUGCAUCCGAAACUGGCGGUCUGGAGUAGUGGAGAGGAAAGCAGAAUUCCUGGUGUAGAGGUGAAAUUCGUAGAUAUCAGGAGGAACACCGGUGGCGAAGGCGGCUUUCUGGACACUUACUGACGCUGAGACGCGAAAGCGUGGGAGCAAACAGG
RNAcentral lists this ribosomal RNA (252 nucleotides) under uncultured bacterium. RNAcentral's name for it is "partial 16S ribosomal RNA". It matches the Rfam family "Bacterial small subunit ribosomal RNA", at positions 524 to 776 of the family's 1533-position model. The record is from RNAcentral.